UGGCUUUAGAGAGCUUCAAAGCGUUUCCCUGUGAAAUAGACAAUAUAGAAAAACGAUAAUGAAAUCUAGAGGUAAAGAUAUUUUUUCUCCAUAUACGUCACAGGUCACAUGGUGUGGAGGACCCUUAAGGGGGAGGCACACUAGUCAAUGAUAGAUUUUUUUCUCGCUAAUCGAGGACUUAUUUUUUAUUUAUCUUCUAGUACUGAUCCCUCGCCUAAGAAUUAAACGGUCGAAUGGACGUCAUAUUAUACCGGUGCUGCUUUAUCGUUUUUUUAUUAUAAGGUAUUACCGGUACUGUUAGCAUUGACAUUAAUGGAGACAGAAGUUCCGAUUUUUCUCUUCUCGACUUGGACCCGGUGUCAGGAAAGUUUGAGGUGGUGGCUAAUUUCUUUGGCAAAGUUAACAAAUACGUGCCAAUUCCAUCAAAGAAGAUUCAUUGGGCCGGAAACAUAAAAUCACUGCCACCGGAUACUCCUAAGCGUGGUUUUGACAGAGCUAAAUGUCUACAUAAAACAAAUAUCACAGAAACUUCAGAUGCUUCCAAGACGUCUGCAAAUGGCUCUAGAACUCUUGUCCAGUGCAUCCUGGUCAUGGUUAUAGGAACAUAUGUAGGACUUUAUACAAACAAAUGAGGCCAGAGAACCUGAAGUAAAACGGUGCCUUAGAAUGUACUUGGAAAAAAAUUGAUAUUCAAGCAUUGUUCAUUCUAAUUUUUGGUCUUAUCUUUUCAGACUAAAAGAUCGACAGUGAAGAGCUCUGAAUAUUCUGUUAUCUAUUUUAGAAAAUAUACUUAAAUGUAAUUAUAAUUUGUGUAUAUUAUUUUAUGAAUCCCUUUUUAUCAAUCAUGGGUAAGAUACUGUCUUCCUGUUUCACACUAAGUAUUAAAAAUAAUGUAUGAUAGAAUAUUAAUAUAUUGUCAGUACAU
Saccostrea cuccullata (small rock oyster) is the source of this 925-nucleotide long non-coding RNA. RefSeq lists it as uncharacterized. The record is from RefSeq and is a predicted model, not a curated record. The transcript has 3 exons. NCBI's taxonomy places the organism in Eukaryota, Metazoa, Mollusca, Bivalvia, Ostreida, Ostreidae.